UGCCAGCCGCCGCGGUAAUACGUAGGGAGCAAACGUUGUCCGGAUUUAUUGGGCGUAAAGGGCUCGUAGGCGGUUCAACAAGUCGGUCGUGAAAGCCCGGGGCUCAACCCCGGAAGUGCAUUGGAAACUGGUGAACUUGAGUACGGGAGAGGAAAGUGGAAUUCCGAGUGUAGGGGUGAAAUCCGUAGAUAUUCGGAGGAACACCAGUGGCGAAGGCGGCUUUCUGGACCGAUACUGACGCUGAGACGCGAAAGCGUGGGGAGCAAACAGGAUUAGAUA
RNAcentral lists this ribosomal RNA (279 nucleotides) under uncultured bacterium. RNAcentral's name for it is "partial 16S ribosomal RNA". It matches the Rfam family "Bacterial small subunit ribosomal RNA", at positions 506 to 784 of the family's 1533-position model. The record is from RNAcentral.